AUAAGUAAAUUAUAUUGAGAUAAAAGUAGCGAUAUACAAGGAUUUAUUGGGAUCAGAUUGAAGGUCAUUUUAAUCUAUAAACUAAGAGUUGAUUAUAAAAUUAUUAUUUGUGGUGGUUGGACGUUGGAAUAUUGAUUGCUCCAUAGAUGAUCUAUGUGUAUAACAAUCAAUAAGUAUAUUAAAUGGCUAGAACUUGAAUAAGUUGAAAGCCUUAUUUUAAAGGAAAUGUUGUCAGAAGUAUAGAUGAAAUUUAUAUUAAUUCUUUAAUUUCUUAUUUAAAUAAAGUUAUAUGUUUAAUGCAGUUUUGUUCUUUAUAUUUAUAUUUUAUCUAGAUUGUUGAGUCUGUCUACCACUCUUGUUAGUCAGAAUCUAAGUUAAAACUUGCUCUUUCUUUUAUCAUUGUGAGUAAUAAUAAAUAAUGCAUACUAUUAUUUGCAUGCAUGCACCGUCCAUUUCAUGAUAUAUGAAUAUAUACAAAUGAUAUUCGACUUUCAUUCUUUUAAUGCAAUAUUAUUAAGAUUUACUUACACUAUUCACCUUAAAAAUUAUAAUAAUAUAUACACGAGUAUUAUAUAUAUAUAUAUAUAUAUAUUUCUCAAUUAUAUUCAUAUGUGCAUAUUGAUCUACAACGAAAAGAAAGAGAUGAUGGAAAAACAAUGAGAGCACUGGUCAAGUGAGGAUUAGCCCAAUUGGCUGGGGGAUUGGCUGCCUGUUGUACACGUAUAAGAGGACAGACUAUGUGCAAGGAUGGAUUGUUGGGGGUUUUGUGACACCACUGAACAGUCUUCAUUUUAUGUGAUUACUUGAAGGAGAUAGACACUAUACUGGUCCGGACAAUCUCUGCUUCCUUCUCCACAGAGUUAUGGCAGUAGUUUUUGACUUUUUGAUAAUUCUCAAAUAUAUAGUCUUGUGUUUAGAAAUAUAAUCGUGUUUAUUUAAUGAGCUCCACAGUUAGGAUGUUUGUGUCACAAUUCGAUAUGUAAAAUUUAUCAAUGUUCUGCUCAAUAAAUCUAUGGAUUUUCUAA
Jatropha curcas is the source of this 1025-nucleotide non-coding RNA. The record is from RefSeq and is a predicted model, not a curated record. Lineage: Eukaryota; Viridiplantae; Streptophyta; Magnoliopsida; Malpighiales; Euphorbiaceae.